UACGGAGGGUGCAAGCGUUAAUCGGAAUUACUGGACGUAAAGCGCGCGUAGGCGGCCAAGUAAGCCGGUUGUGAAAGCCCCGGGCUCAACCUGGGAACGGCAUCCGGAACUGUCAAGCUAGAGUGCAGGAGAGGAAGGUAGAAUUCCCGGUGUAGCGGUGAAAUGCGUAGAGAUCGGGAGGAAUACCAGUGGCGAAGGCGGCCUUCUGGUCUGACACUGACGCUGAGGUGCGAAAGCGUGGGUAGCGAACAGG
RNAcentral lists this unclassified non-coding RNA (253 nucleotides) under uncultured Halomonadaceae bacterium. RNAcentral describes it as "contains 16S-23S intergenic spacer region". It matches the Rfam family "Bacterial small subunit ribosomal RNA", at positions 524 to 776 of the family's 1533-position model. The record is from RNAcentral. Lineage: Bacteria; Pseudomonadati; Pseudomonadota; Gammaproteobacteria; Oceanospirillales; Halomonadaceae.